This 73-nucleotide transfer RNA is filed under the name Salmo salar (Atlantic salmon). It matches the Rfam family "tRNA". From Rfam's summary of the family: Transfer RNA (tRNA) molecules are approximately 80 nucleotides in length. Their secondary structure includes four short double-helical elements and three loops (D, anti-codon, and T loops). Lineage: Eukaryota; Metazoa; Chordata; Actinopteri; Salmoniformes; Salmonidae. The record is from Rfam by way of RNAcentral.
UCCCGUGUGGCUCAGUUGGUAGAGCAUGGUGUUUGCAACGCCAGGGUUGUGGGUUCGAUUCCCUACAGGGGAC